AGAGUUUGAUCCUGGCUCAGGAUGAACGCUAGCUACAGGCUUAACACAUGCAGGUCGAGGGGCAGCAUGGUCUUAGCUUGCUAAGGCCGAUGGCGACCGGCGCACGGGUGAGUAACACGUAUCCAACCUGCCGUCUACUCUUGGACAGCCUUCUGAAAGGAAGAUUAAUACAAGUUGGCAUCAUGAGUCCGCAUGUUCACAUGAUUAAAGGUAUUCCGGUAGACGAUGGGGAUGCGUUCCAUUAGAUAGUAGGCGGGGUAACGGCCCACCUAGUCUUCGAUGGAUAGGGGUUCUGAGAGGAAGGUCCCCCACAUUGGAACUGAGACACGGUCCAAACUCCUACGGGAGGCAGCAGUGAGGAAUAUUGGUCAAUGGGCGAGAGCCUGAACCAGCCAAGUAGCGUGAAGGAUGACUGCCCUAUGGGUUGUAAACUUCUUUUAUAAAGGAAUAAAGUCGGGUAUGGAUACCCGUUUGCAUGUACUUUAUGAAUAAGGAUCGGCUAACUCCGUGCCAGCAGCCGCGGUAAUACGGAGGAUCCGAGCGUUAUCCGGAUUUAUUGGGUUUAAAGGGAGCGUAGAUGGAUGUUUAAGUCAGUUGUGAAAGUUUGCGGCUCAACCGUAAAAUUGCAGUUGAUACUGGA
RNAcentral lists this ribosomal RNA (640 nucleotides) under uncultured Bacteroidota bacterium. RNAcentral describes it as "bacterial SSU rRNA". It matches the Rfam family "Bacterial small subunit ribosomal RNA", at positions 8 to 637 of the family's 1533-position model. The record is from RNAcentral. Lineage: Bacteria; Pseudomonadati; Bacteroidota.